This 218-nucleotide long non-coding RNA is filed under the name Lathyrus oleraceus (garden pea). RNAcentral's name for it is "Pisum sativum (pea) long non-coding RNA (PSAT_LNC038501)". The record is from RNAcentral. Lineage: Eukaryota; Viridiplantae; Streptophyta; Magnoliopsida; Fabales; Fabaceae.
UUCAUUCUUUUCUUUUUUCACCCUGUUGUGUGUGUUAGGAGUCGGAUGUAAGACCAGCCAUUAGCAUUCCGUUUCCUGUUUGUGUUUGCUUGUUCGGAGUCUGAUGUAAGUCCAUCUAUUGGCAUUCGGUUUCCUUGGUUGUGUGUGUGUUUGGAGUUGGAUGUAAGUCCAUUUAUUGGCAUUCCGUUUCCUGUUGUCUGUUUCUGUUAACGUCUCAG